This 492-nucleotide ribosomal RNA is filed under the name uncultured bacterium. RNAcentral's name for it is "partial 16S ribosomal RNA". It matches the Rfam family "Bacterial small subunit ribosomal RNA", at positions 29 to 507 of the family's 1533-position model. The record is from RNAcentral.
AUUGAACGCUGGCGGCAUGCUUUACACAUGCGAGUCGAACGGUAACAGGCCUUCGGGUGCUGACGAGUGGCGAACGGGUGAGUAAUGCAUCGGAACGUACCCAGAGGUGGGGGAUAACGCAGCGAAAGCUGUGCUAAUACCGCAUGUGAUCUGAGGAUGAAAGCGGGGGACCGAGCAGCAAUGUUUGGCCUCGCGCCUUUGGAGCGGCCGAUGUCGGAUUAGCUAGUUGGUGGGGUAAAGGCCUACCAAGGCGACGAUCCGUAGCUGGUCUGAGAGGACGACCAGCCACACUGGGACUGAGACACGGCCCAGACUCCUACGGGAGGCAGCAGUGGGGAAUUUUGGACAAUGGGCGCAAGCCUGAUCCAGCAAUGCCGCGUGCGGGAAGAAGGCCUUCGGGUUGUAAACCGCUUUUGGCAGGAACGAAACGGUGUCCGCUAAUACCGGGCGCUAAUGACGGUACCUGCAGAAUAAGCACCGGCUAAUUACGUG